Molecule: ribosomal RNA, 425 nt
Filed under: uncultured bacterium
Lineage: Bacteria
Description: partial 16S ribosomal RNA
Rfam family: Bacterial small subunit ribosomal RNA
Source: RNAcentral
GUGGGGAAUCUUGCGCAAUGGGCGAAAGCCUGACGCAGCCAUGCCGCGUGAAUGAUGAAGGUCUUAGGAUUGUAAAAUUCUUUCACCGGGGACGAUAAUGACGGUACCCGGAGAAGAAGCCCCGGCUAACUUCGUGCCAGCAGCCGCGGUAAUACGAAGGGGGCUAGCGUUGCUCGGAAUUACUGGGCGUAAAGGGCGCGUAGGCGGACAGUUUAGUCAGAGGUGAAAGCCCAGGGCUCAACCUUGGAAUUGCCUUUGAUACUGGCUGUCUUGAGUGCGGGAGAGGUGAGUGGAACUCCGAGUGUAGAGGUGAAAUUCGUAGAUAUUCGGAAGAACACCAGUGGCGAAGGCGACUCACUGGCCCGUUACUGACGCUGAGGCGCGAAAGCGUGGGGAGCAAACAGGAUUAGAAACCCUGGUAGUCC